RNAcentral lists this small RNA (125 nucleotides) under Marmota monax (woodchuck). The record is from RNAcentral. Lineage: Eukaryota; Metazoa; Chordata; Mammalia; Rodentia; Sciuridae.
GCUGGGUGCAGUUGUGCAUACCUGUAAUCCCAGUGAUUUGGGAGGCUGAGGCAGGAGGAUUGUGAGUUCAAAGCCAGCCUCAACAAUGAUGAGGUGCCUUGCAACUCAGUGAGACCUUGUCUCUA